Molecule: ribosomal RNA, 467 nt
Filed under: uncultured bacterium
Lineage: Bacteria
Description: bacterial SSU rRNA
Rfam family: Bacterial small subunit ribosomal RNA
Source: RNAcentral
AACCAGACUCCUACGGGAGGCAGCAGUGAGGAAUAUUGGUCAAUGGGCGCGAGCCUGGACCAGCCAAGUCGCGUGAGGGAAGACGGUCCUAUGGAUUGUAAACCUCUUUUGUCGGGGAGCAAAAAGGCCUCGUGAGGCCACAAGUGAGAGUACCCGAAGAAAAAGCACCGGCUAACUCCGUGCCAGCAGCCGCGGUAAUACGGAGGGUGCGAGCGUUAUCCGGAUUCACUGGGUGUAAAGGGAGCGUAGACGGCGACGCAAGUCUGGAGUGAAAGCCCGGGGCCCAACCCCGGGACUGCUCUGGAAACUGCGUCGCUGGAGUACGGGAGGGGCAGGCGGAAUUCCUGGUGUAGCGGUGAAAUGCGUAGAUAUCAGGAGGAACACCGGCGGCGAAGGCGGCCUGCUGGACCGUGACUGACGUUGAGGCUCGAGAGCGUGGGGAGCAAACAGGAUUAGAUACCCCCGUA